GGUUUUCCCACAUGAGUGAACGUGUAGCAGAAGAGAGGAUCCUCUCAGUGAUUAAGGUAAAUAGGGGAGGAAAGGAUGACUUUGCCCUAACUCCUAUCAGGGAGGCUCUUAGAAAUGUCAUUUCUGGGUGUCAAUACUUUUACUUUCUUUUUAAAUUUUGUUUGUUUGUUUGUUUGUUUAUAUUCAAGUUAGUUAACAUACAGGGUAAUUACGAUUUCAGGAGUAGAACCCAGUGAUUCAUCUCUUGCAUAUGACACCCAAUGCUCAUCCCGAAAAAUGCCCUUCUUAAUGUCCAUCACCCAUGUAUAGCCCACACCCCCCCCAACCACAUCAAGCCUCAGUUUGUUCUCUGUAUUUAAGAGUCUCUUAUGGUUUGUCUCCCUCUCUGUUUUUAUCUUAUUUUUCCUUCUCUUCCCCUAUGUUCAUCUGUUCAGUUUCUGAAAUUCCACAUAUGAGUAAAAUUAUAUGAUAUGUCAUUCUCUGACUUGUCUUGCUUAGCAUAAUACCCUCCACUUCUAUCCAUGUUUUUGCAAAUGGCAAGAUUUCAUUCUUUUUCAUCGCCGAGUGGUAUUCCAUUUUACAUAUGUAUAUAUAUAUGGUAUAUAUAUAUAUAUCACAUGCCUUUAAAGCCUGUAGUUUAUUCUGUAAUACAUUUUUCUUGAAACAAUUGGGGUAAAUUAUCUUGUUUACCCAGUCUGUAAUCACCCCUGCAGAGGAUCAGAACUAAAAUGGUUGCCAAGUAAACUAGGCAACAUAAGCUACAGUCACAAAUAAAGGCAGGACACUAAUUAUACUCCUCUUAAGGGGAGAGUGUCUUUUUAACCAGACUUGUUGAGAGUUUUUAUCAGACAGUGGAGCUACAUCUUGUCGAAAGUCAGCUCAUAGCAGAGGCUCCAUAUUUCAGCGGUAGCCAAGUUAGUAAUUUCAGAGAUAGCAGUGUCUUCUGGAUUGCACUUAAACCAAUUGGACUAGUGUUCAUUUUGGACUCCUAAGGGAUCAGCCCCCUGAUGGGAUCCAGGGAGCAUUUAAAUGGUCCAUAGUUAAGAGAAGAGAGGCACAAAAUCAGGUUCUUUGCUGACACUGGUCUAGUCUGGGGCCAAUAAAGCCCCUGUGUUUUGGACACCACUUUGAGUCUGAUACACCACUGAAAAGUGCUCUUCUGGCACCACCCUUGAACUCAUUACCUCAGAUGUCCGGAUCAGUGGGUCCAAAUCUUGGUAGACCACUUUCACUCACUUUGUCUGAACCUAAGAAUCUGCAAUCAUGGCACGGACAAGCCAACCCACAUGGAAUACCUACAACGCAGAAAGACUUUUGCCCUCAGUGGAGCACAGGCACCAGGUCCUCUCCUUUCAUUCAUUUUCCUCCUCCUUCCUAACACAGAGCUAGACACCCAGUAAAUAACCCCUUCACACGUGCAGCACAGCAGUUAACAAAGGCUUCAGUAAGAAAGUGCCUUUGUCAGAGUUGGCCUGCUGACCCCAGUGUUGGAGGAGAUUAUUGACACGACGUGACCACUGGUUGACCCUUGAGCUUGACCCAGGCAAAUGGAGGUUCCUCACUCUUUCCCUGUCCUUGGAGUGUACAGUUUCUGCACUAGGAACUGUUUCAAGGAUGGAGCCUUGAAAAGGUAAGGUGUGGUAUAGACCGUCUGGAUGGCACAUGUGACUGAACCACGUUAAGGCCUCUAUACCUACAAACCUUUAAGACUCUGGCAGAGGGGUACAGACAUCUGCUAGUCUCUGGCUGCCCGAGACAAGCCUCAUAAGUUCCCUUGCUUAUUAAAACCACUGCCUACCAAUCUGGAGUGGUCUACCUCUUUCAGCAGUUUCCUUUGCCCCAUGCGUAUAUGGACCAGCUGGGAACCAACACUCAGACACUAGGGGAGGUCAGGUCUUUCUGCUGCAUCACUGGUAGGCGGGGCUGAGAACGGGCAGGAGUGACUGCCAUACAGCAGACUCAGGCUGCGGGCCAGCCUGGUGGGACCAGCUGGCCUAGGAGAGCCAGUCACACGGCUUGACCUGUGGCUGCCACCAUGAUCAGGGCCAUCCUGAGAGGUAGCUUUUGCCCUCAUGGACAGGGAAAGACCAGAAGGUCACAACCCAUCUCAUCAGAGAAAAGGGAGGCAGGGAAUGAAAACACAACACUGCUGGUAAGCAGAUCUCUGCCACAAACCUUGGCAGAGCACACACCUUUCUGAAGAGCCUGAGCCUGUACAAGCCAAGACAUAAACAAGUACAGAAUGUCCCCUUCAUCAUUUCACCUAUAGGUGGGGUAGGUAGUCUAAGGAGUUCACACAGGGAUCAGGGCAAAAAGUUGAUGGGGGAGGGGCGGUAAAUAAGGUUCCAGAAAGGUAAAAUAGGACUAGAAGAAUUCACCGUGACUGGUCAGUUCUCUGUCACCUUAUACCAUGAUCACAAUUCAAAUUUAAUCACUCAUUUUAAAAUCGACUUUAAACUAUUAAAUCUUUUCUACAACGGAAACAAAAAGGUCCAUAGUUAAAGUAGGAGGCAUCUAUAAUAUGGCCAUUCCUGGGAGAUCUCUACAGAGCCCAUCCCUACUUUAAGCUAGUAAUGCCUCCAUCCAGAGUUAAUAACCAGAAUGCCAGUAUCUGCCAUUUUUCAUAAAAGUAAUAAAGGUCACCUUUUCCCAUGAGGAUGGUUUUGAGAUGGUGCCUUCAUAGCAUAAUGUUCCUCUGGAAUAUUUGGAUAAUUCUAUUGACAGAAUUCGAGAAUUAGCCUGCACGAGGAACCUGAAUGAUAGGAAAAUUGUCUUUUCACUAGGGAGAAGCCUGGGAUAGUACAAAGGGAUUUCCCACAUUCCGUGUAUAUUACAGCUUACUUUAAAAUGACAUUGGUCUUUGGGUAUCUGGAUGGCUCAGUCGAUAAGCAUCCAACUCUUGAUUUCGACUCAGGUCAUGAUCUCACAGUUCGUGGGAUCGAGCCCCACAUUGGGCUCUGGACUGACAGUGUGGAGCCUGCUUGGGAUUCUCUCUCUCCCUCUCUCUCUCUGCCCCUCUCCCACUUGUACUUAACUACCUACCUACCUAACAUUGGUCUUGUAUAAGGAUAGGAAUGUUAGUAUGCUGUCCAAAAAAAAAAAGGUCUCCCUGUCUCUUUCUUUAUAUGGGCCAAAACGGGUUGUAUAAAUCUGGCUUUUGCUCUCUGAAUCCCAGUUUUUUCCCUGGGAUUUCCCUAUCCUCAUUAUCCAUUCUUUACUUUUGUGACAGCUGGGUCUGUUGCGGUUUUUUUUUUCUUUUGUCUUUCUGUUUAGGCUAGUCAUCACUCCCAUAGUAACACCCAUGCACAAUUUUUGAAAAUUUUCUUCCUGAGGUCAUGUAAUAUCAAUAACAAUGAUUAUUCAGUUAGUUAUCAGUGUCUUUUAUGUUCUAGGCAAGUGUUUUACACAUAUUUGUUGUCUCAUUUUAACUUAAUAGUAAUUCUGGGAUGUAUGAUUUGUUCCUACUUUACAGAUAAUAAAACUGAGGAUCAGAGAGGUGAUGGCCACUAGCAUGCCACUAGGAGCCAGUGGUGGAGCUGUAUUGUGUCAUACUCUAAAGAUCUUGACUACCUUACUCUACUUGAAGUGGUAGAAUAUGACAAGCAUAUUCUUAGUUUUUGGGACCACCUGCCUCCUUAUGGGAUCCUUGUCACUGUCUUCUUCCAGGACAUAGGGGCAUAUGUGAAGGGUUUGUUAUCAAACAUUUAUUUAUUUUUGGGAGAACGCAAGUGGGGAGGGACAAGAGGGAGACAGAGGAUCCGUAGUGGGCCCUGCACUGAUAGGCUGACAGCCGCAAGCCCAAUGUGGGGCUCGAACUCACGAACUGUGAGAUCAUGACCUGAGCCAAAGUCAGACGCUCAACCGACUGAGCCACCCAGGUGUCCUGUGAAGAGUUUGUUUUCAAAGGGAGGUUCAGAUGUGCAAGAGGGAUGGUGUGAGGGAUGUGUGGAUCCCUUUAGUUUCUAAAGAUGACCACUUUAGAUGAACUAGCAUCACAGCUAUUCACUGUGUGCUUAUCUUUGUCUUUUUACUUUUUAUUAUAACCCCCACCCUCCUGCAUAAUGUUUAUGUUGGAUGAUUUCCAUGAGGUUAUACUUUCUUCUACACCAAACAAAAAGGAAUUGCAAGAGUCAGAGUCACAACUGAAAAUCCAUUGCUUGCAGAAUUAACUCAGGUACAGGCUCAUCAGGGGCUGGAGCAGCUUGCUGUGCAUGUCAGGAUGUCCCAGCUGGAAUUCAGCAUAAAUAGUGCAUUCUGUUAGCAGACAAUACUGAUAAAAUUACUCUGUAUCAAGUGGAAAAUAAUAGGGAUACCUAUCAAUUAAUACUUAUGUAAAUUUUAUUGCUGGUGAGGUGUCCAGAUAGUUGGCAUAGGCUAAGGUUUGGCAAGGUGUGGCCCACUUGCUGGCUGCCUGUUUUUGUAAAUAUAAUUUUGUUGGAACACAGAAUCAUGCUGAUUCUCUGUUGUCUGUGGUUGCCUUUUGUGCUACAGUAGAGUUGAGUAUUUGCAAUGGACUGUAUGGUCCACAGCCUUAAGCAUUAUCAUCUGGCCCUUCACUGAAAAUUUGCCAAUUCCUGGGGCACCUGAGUGGCUCAUUCGUUAAGUGUCUGACUUCAGCUCAGGUCAUGAUCUCACAGUUCGUGAGUUAAAGUCCUACAUCAGGUGAAGCUUAUGCCCCACUUUGGGUGAGCCCCACUUCUCUCUCUCCUUCUCUCUCCCUACCUGGGGAGACAUGUCUAGAAAAGUUUUGAUAAGGCUGAUGUGAAAGAAAUUACUGCCUGUGGUUUCCUCUAGGAUUUUUAUGGUUUCAGGUCUCAAUUUAGGUCUUUAAUCCAUUUCAAGUUUAUUUUUGUAUAUGAUGUAAGAAAGUGGUCCUGUAUCAUUCUUUUACAUGUAGCUGUCCAGUUUUCCCAGCACCAUUUAUUGAAGACACUAGCUUUUUCCCAUGGUAUAUUUUUGCCUUUUUUCUCAUAGAUUAAUUUACUGUAUAAUUGUGGAUUUAUUUCUAGGUUCUCUAUACUAUUCCCUUGGUCUAUGUGUCUAUUUUUGUGCCAGUACUAUACUGUUUUGAUUACUACAGCUUUGUAGUAGUAUCUUGAAAUCUGGGAUUGUGAUACCUCCAGCUUUGUUCUUUCUCAAGAUUUCUUUGACUAUUUGGGUCCUUUGGGGUUCCAUACAAAUUUUAGUAUUAUUUGUUCUGGCUCUGUGAAAAAUGCCAUUGCUACUUUGAUAAGGAUCACAUUGAAUCUGUAGAUUUCUUUGGAUAGCAUGGACAUUUGAACUAUUCUUCACCACAUGAGCAUGGAACAUGCUUCCAUUUGCUUGUGUCACCUUCAAUAUUUUUUAUCAGUGUUUUAUAGUUUUUAAAGUACAGGUCUUUCACCUCCUUGGUUAUGUUUAAUCCUAUUUUAUUAUUUUGCGUACUAUUGUAAAAGGAUUGUUUUUAAUUUCUCUUACUGCUAUUUCAUUAUUAGUGUAUAGAAACAGAACCAAUUUCUGUGUAUUAAUUUUGUACCCUGCAACUUUACUGAAUUCAUUUAUUCUGAUAGUUUUUUGGUGAAAACUUUAGGAUUUUCUAUGUAAGGUAUCAUGUCAUCUGCAAAUAGCCAAAGUUUAAAUUCUUCCUUACCAAUUUGGAUUCCUUUUAUUUCUUUUUCUUUUCUUUUUAACUUUUUAAAUCUUUAUUCAUUUUUGAGAGAGAGAGCGUAAGCAGAAGAAGGGCAGAGAGAGAGGGAGACACAGAAUCCAAAGCAGGCUCCAGGCUGCAGGCUCCAAGCUAUCAGCACAGAGCCUGACACAGGGCUCAAACCCACGAACUACAGGAUCAUGACCUGAGCCGAAGUUGGGCACUUAACUGACUGAGCCACCCAGGCGUCCCAUAUUUCUUUUUAUCUGAUUGCUGUUGUUGUGUUGAAUACAAGUGGUGACAGUGGACAUCCUUGUCUUGUUCCUGUUCUUAAGGAAAAGCUCCCAGUUUUUCACCAUUGAAUAUGAUGUUAGCUGUGGGUUUUUCGUAUGUGACCUUAUUUAUGUUGAGAUAUAUUCUCUUUAAAAAUUUUUCUAAUGUUUUUACUUAUUUUUGAGACAGAAAGAGACAGAGCAUGAGCAGGGGAGGGGCAGAGAGAGAGGGAGACACAGAAUCUGAAGUAGGCUUCAGGCUCUGAGCUGGCAACAGAGAGCCCGACGUGGGGCUUGAACCUCACGGACUGUCAGGUCAUGACCUGAGCUGAAGUCGGACGCUUACCUGACUGAGCCACCCAGGCGCCCCUAGAUAUAUUCUCUUUAAACCCACUUUGUUGAGAGUUUUUAUCAUGAACAGAUGUUAAAUUUUGUUAAGUGCUUUUUCUGCAUUUAUUGAGAUGCUGUUAUAAUUUUUAUCCUUCGUUUAGUUAAUGUGUAUUACGUCGAUUGAUUUGUGAAUAUUGAACCAUCCUUGUAUCCCUGGAAUACAUGCCACUUGAUCAUGAUUAAUGUUCCUUUAAUCUAUUACUGAAUGCGGUUUGCUGUUGCCCUAUAGUUCUCUUUUUUUGUAGCAUCUUUGUCUGGGUUUGGUAUGAUAGGUUUUUCUUUGCAUGACUUGGAAUAUUUAUGUCAUUUUUUCUUAUCCUUACUUUAUCAGUUCUAGUGUUUAUGUUCUUCACCAGCAUAUGUAUUCUCUGCUACUUAGGCCCAUAAGUGAGUCUAAUAUAGAGGUUACCUUAGAUGGAAACACUGUCCUUAGUCAAGGUAGGAGGCAGUGGUUUUGGUAAUUUGCUGUGUCAAAACCUAAAUUUCUCAUUCAGGAUAGGAGGAAUUAAUCCAUUGCUAUGUAAAAAUGAGAUCUGGACAAAGGAACAGCCAUCUCAGUCAAGUAAGUGAUUAUUUUGACAUGGAAGUAAAUAUUUUUCUUUGACCUUUUGUUGUAUGUGUUCUAUUUAAUAGUUUUCUUAGUAAUGAACCUACCUUGCAUCUCUAGAAGAAAACUUUUUACUUUUUAAUGAUUUUGAAUUAGGUUUCCUAAAUUUGCUAUUUUUAAUGUUAUUUUCUGUUUUAUUUUUUACUCUUUUGUUUCUGUUUAACAGUGAGUUUUUGGUUAGGGUGGCAGUCUUUGUCAGGUGUUGAAGUUAGGGUCAUUAAUGAAAUCUUGUUUCCUGAUCUUUUAAAUUUAGCAGAUCUCAAACAUGUUCCAUGCCAUUAAAUAUGGUUUAGAUAUGGUUUAGGGGCACCUGGGUAGUUCAGUCGGUUAAGUGUCCUACUUCAGCUUAGGUCAUGAUCUCACGAUUUCAUGAGUUCAGGCCCUGCGUUGGGCUCUGUGCUGACAGUUCAGAGCCUGGAGCCUGCUUUGGAUUCUGUGUUUCCCUCUCUCUCUGCCCCUCCCCAGCUCAUGCUCUGUCUGUCUCUGUCUCUGUCUCUCUCUCUCUCUCUCAAAAAUAAACAGAAGUCCUCGAAGUCUUCCAAGUAGAGAGAAUUGCUUGAACUUUUUAAAUUAAAAAUAUGAGUGACUGUUUUCAUCUGGAACUUGAUAGUAAUGUCACUAAUUAAAAAUAGGAUAUAUGAUAUAUUUUAACUGAGACCAACACCUUAACACCCAAAAAGAACUUCUGCAUCACUAAAGAAGAAAAAUGUCUUGCCGGGAACAAGCUAAGGAAACAAUUGUACCACCUCCCUACCUUAUUGAUUGAUUGAUUGAUUGAAAGGUACCCUCUCAAAAACAAAACAAAAUGACUUGCUUAGCUAGGAAGAUGCAUUUUUUUCCCUUAAAGACCAGCUUGACAUUUUGUUCUAAGUCAAAAGUAGUUACUAAGCUCUGUUUAUGUUCUAUAGAUGUAACCUCAUUUAUUGAUAGCUCUAAUCCAGUGAUUUUUUACAAAUCUUGACAAUAACACACCAAAACAUCCAAUUGUUAUUAAUGUAAAUAUGUGUUACAUAUAAUUGUGGUUGAAAAUGCAAUUUUGAAACAUGGAGGAAAAUACAUGAUUUGGCAUCUCAAUAUCACAAAAUAGGUGGGAUGUUGGGGGUCACUAGAUCACAGGUCUCAGCAUAUAGUUGUACUCACAGCUGAGAUUUAUUAUAGCAACAUAGUAAGGAUAUACAGCCUUUCUUUUUUUUAAUUUUUUAAGUUGAUUUAUUUAUAUUGGGAGCAAGUGAGCAGGGGAGGGGCAGAGAGGGAGAGAGAGAGAAUCCCAAGCAGGCUGUGCUCUGUCAGCGCAGAGCCCCAUGCAGGGCUCGAAGUCACAAACCACGAGAUCAUGACCUGAACUGAAACCAAGAGUCAGACGCUUAACUGACUAAGCCACCAAGGUGCCGCAGUGUACAGCCUUUCUAAGGUUAUUGAAAGGGAAGAAGGUGCAGGAGGGUGUGGAGGAAUCCCUAUGCAGUCCUCUUUCUGCUCUCCCUCCCGUGAGCAGUCACACAGAGUACAUCCUCCAGCAAUAGAAAUGCAGCAACUUGUGUGCAAUGUUUCUGCCAGGGAAGCCUGUUAUAGAGACUCAACAGGAAAGGUUUUUAUUGUGGACUGGUCACAUAGGUACUGUCUUGUUUAGCAGGUACCAAAAUUCCACUUUCCAGAAGGAAAGUAGGUGUUCAGCAUGAUCCACAUUAUUUAUACCAGUAACCUAGAUACAGUGAGCCACUCUUACUAGUUAGGGAAAGUUUUCUACCAGCAUAGGGACCUGUUUACCCAUAAAGUUCCCAGAUGCCAGCCAAGGCUAACCUUGAGAAGCAGGCCUUUCUGAGAUAGUAGUCUUAGGGUUGCUUACAUUAACUUUUCUCUGUGUACAUGCAUUGGAUGUAUAAUAAAAGAUCAAAAUAAGAGCAUUCUAUAAUUGACCACAUUCAGACCCUGUUUAAGGGAAGAGGGUGGGCCACUUCGAUAGGAAGAAGUUUAAAUACAUGAUUUCCAUUUUGUUGGGGACAUGUGAAAAAAUUGAGAGUGCCUAUUUGGGACUUUUUUAUGUCAAAGAGUGAUCUAAGCUUAUUUGUAAACUUUUUUUAACAAAAUCUUUGAUAUAUUCACUAUUUUUUGCUUCCUUUUUUUUUCUCGUACUGUUGCAAAAGUUAACUGUGAAAAGUGUGAUAAUUCCUUUGUGCAUCAUUCCUUCCCCACACAUGACUUUGGAAUUUGACAUUCAAGAAACUGUUCUUUAAGAAAUAAGUCAAGGGGCGCCUGUGUGGGUCAGUUGGUUAAGCGUCCAACUUCAGCCUAGGUCAUGAUCUCGCAGUUCGUGAGUUCGAGCCCCAUGUCAGGCUCUGUGCUCACAGCUCAGAGCCUGGAGCCUGUUUCGGAUUGUGUCCCCCCUCUCUUUCUCUGUCCCUCCCCCAUUCAUGCUCGCUCUCUCUCUCCCUCUCUCUCAAGAAACAUUUAAAAAAAAAGAAAGAAAAAGAAGUCUAGGGGCUCCUGGGUGGCUUAGUCAGUUAAGCCUCCAGCUGUUGAUUUCAGCUCAGGCGAUGAUCCCAGGGUCAUGGGAUUGAGCCCAACUUUGGGCUCCGUGCUGAGUGUGGAAUCUGCUUGAGAUUCUCCCUCUCUCUCUCCCUUUGCCUCUCUUCCCCACGCGCAUGCUCUCUUUCGAAAGAAAGAAAAGUCUUAAGGGAAUGUGAAAUUUUUGUUCGUGGCCUCGCAUGAAUUUAGUUAGAAAACUGAAAGUCGGUUUAAAAUAAACUUUUCCAUUUGACUAAAAUUUAAAAACAGAUGAACUGUGCUAUCUGGGCAUAAUUCAAUUUAGGUAAUAACUAUUUUUACCCAUUAUGAGAAAUUAAAGGAAUUGUUGUAAAGUCUUUGAUGCAUUUUCCUGGUAAAGUUAAAAAUGUUGAAAUCUACACACCAAAAUGUUCACAUUGGUUAUCUUUUGAGACAGGUGUAGAUUAGUAGUUGUUAUUUUGGGGGGAGUGUUUUGGUUUCCUUGAUUUUUUUUCAUAAUAAAAGUAUACCAUGUUGCUUAGCUUUUUGUUCAACUUGUAUAAAUUAAAUGCCUCCUAUGCCAUGGAUACUGGACAUACAGUUGUGCAUGUAGUAAUUUCUAGGUUUUCUCAGCAAGUUCAGUAAGCUAAGGGAAGUAUAAUAGAGUUAAGAAUAGGGUAUGUAGGAAGGUUACUUAAUAGUAUAGAAGAUAUGAAGCCAAGAUAGGAAGGGAGAGGAAGACUUUGUAACAUUGGACCUCAGGGGAAUUUUUACCAAAGUGAUAUCCUAAGGCAGAAUCCCACUUUGGGAACAACUAACCAGGCUGACAUUGGUAGAUCUUGUUCUCUGAAGGACUUUUGGUAUUGUCGGAAUAGACUUAGCACCAUAUAUGUAUAUAUUGCCAGUAAAUAAUACUUUUAGGGCUUAAAUUUCAACUAUUGGAGGUUCCAAGGGAUCUGAUUUUGUGCAUUAGGUGUUCUGCUAAAAUUACUGUAAUUUGGGGGUGCUUGGGUGGCUCAGUUGCUUAAGCGUCUGUCCAAUUCUUAACUUCGGCUCAGGUCAUUAUCUCUCGUAGUUCAUUAGUUUGAGCCCUGCAUCUGGCUCUGUGCUGACAACGAGGAGCCUGCUUAGGAUUCUCUGUCUCCUUUCUCUCUGCCUGUGCCCCUCCCCUGCUCAUGCACAUGCACACACUCUCAAAAAUAAACUUUAAAAUAACUAUAAUUUGGGGUAAGGAAUCAUAUCAGUCAUAAAUGCAGCCUUUUUCAUGAUGUCCUCAGAUAAAAUUUUGUCCAUUUUUAUUUCAUGUUAAAUUGUUGGUCAUCAUCCAUUCCUUUCUCUCAGAGUCAUAGUACUUUGGUAGCCUGAAGUAAUUUCCAGAUUAUGUUCAUUUCAUAGAAACUUAAAAAUUUGUUGAAGUAAUGUUAAAUGUCUGAUUUAGGUUCUGCUUGGGCAUGUCUUUGUCCCACUAUGGUCCCUCUGACAUUAGACCACAUACAGUGAAACCUUGGAUUGUAAGUUGUUCUGCAAGUGUUCCACAAGACGAGCAAACAUUUCCAAUAAGUUUUAACUUGAUAAAUGAGCAACAUCUUGCAAUAUGAGUAGUACGUGACGCCAGACAUCACAUGAUCAGAACUAAGCCAAUGGUUCUUGAAAUUCAGUUUGAUAUAUGAGUGCUUUGGAUUACAAGCAUGUUUCCAGAAGGAAUUAUGCUCAUAAACCAAGGUUUUACUGUGUAGUAAUCCCAAGGGGUCAGUAUAUCUUGUAAUUUUAGUGACUGAUCUCUGAUUGGUAAUCUGAUACUUUGGGAUUGAUUAUUUUCUAGUUAAGAGACUGGCAGACUAUGUCUGUCAGUACCUGGGAUCAAAUAAUUGGUAUAUUAUAUAAGCAUUGCACCCUGGAUCUGAAAUUACAUUGCUGUAAUGUAAGCUGUAGACUUACCCAUUUUCUUUUUAAAAAAUUUUUUUUUCAACGUUUAUUUAUUUUUGGGACAGAGAGAGACAGAGCAUGAACGGGGGAGGGGCAGAGAGAGAGGGAGACACAGAAUCGGAAACAGGCUCCAGGCUCUGAGCCAUCAGCCCAGAGCCCGACGCGGGGCUCGAACUCACGGACCGCGAGAUCGUGACCUGGCUGAAGUCGGACGCUUAACCGACUGCGCCACCCAGGCGCCCCAAAAGUUGAUAAAAAAAUAUGAAGUUUUUGUUUAUUAAAGUUCCUCCCAAAUUGCCUGUCCAAAACUAUUUUAAUAUAAGCCAUAGUGCUUUUAUUUAAGUAUUUUAUAGUUGCUUAAGUAACUUUCUUCAAAAUAUACAACACUAUGGACUGCUUAACCUGUAAUUUAGGACUAUAUCACAAAACAGGUUUUCCAAAACUUUCCUUGAACACUAGGGGGGCCCCACAAGGAUAUCAUAAACUUGAUUCAAUUUGCUUUAUUGAAUUUGUAUUAAGUCUAAUUUUUAACACACACAAAGUAUCAAAAUGUGUGAUAACCUCUUUAUAGAAGUAAACAUUUUUUUUGGGUGGAUGCCACCAUUCUGUUCAGUAUUAAAUAAGCUUUCUGUUUUCAGAAAAGUUUUAGAUUUACAAAGAAGUUACAAAGAGUUCUCAUAUACCCCACACUCAGUUUCCCUUAUAUUAACAUCUUAUAUUACUAUGGCACAUUUGUCAUAUUCCCCCUCUCCCCAGCCCUUGUUAAACUCUAAUCUACUUUCAGUCUCUGUAAAUUUGUCAGUUCAGGGUACCUCACAGAAUUGGAGCAGUGCAAUAUUUGUCCUUUUGUGUAGGGCUUGCAUCACUUAACAAAUCCACAGGGUUCAUCAUCUGUGUUGUUGCAUGUGCCAGAACUUCAUGUUUUUUUAUGGCUGAAUGAUAUACCAUUGUAUGUAUAUACCACAUUUUGUUUAGCCAUUCAGUUUGUAUAUGUGCCAUGUUUUGUUUAUAGAUACAUACAUUAGUAUAUAUUUAUUUAUAUACAUAUUUUAUUUAUCUACCAUCUAGCUAAUGGAUAGCACUGCCGUAGAACAUAUUUUUGGUUAAUUGUUAUCACAUUUCAUUAGUCUGAUUAAAUUGGUCAUAGUAAACUAUGCAAUAGGAAGUUAUUUAACUCUUGCAAUAAAAUCUUGAAAAUGUCUCUGGAGUAUCAAGAUAAAACUUCAGCCCACUGGAAUUAGGAAGUAUCUGUAUCAAUAUUAGCACAAUUUACCCAAAAAUUAACAAAAAUGUUUUCUUAUUCUAGGUGUGAUACCUUUGGCACCAUCGUAUAUUUUCCUCAGUUAAAAUUAAACAGUAACACUGAUUGGGCGAGUAGUUUUGUGAUUUAAAAAGUAUUUUUCUUUUAGCCAUUAUUUUUAAUGUAGGCUAUAGCGUAUGCUAGGUAGAAUUGUAUUAUUAUCCACUUCCCAAACAUCUCUUUGCUUUCCUUUUUUCUUUCUUAUUCUCUUCAUACUUUCUCAGGGCCUUUAGUCAGUUUCUCUAGGGAAGAAUAAGUUCAAAUCUAUACCUAUCACUCAAAAAAUUGUUUUCUUUCCUCCAUUAUACAUUGUAUUAAAGUAUAAAAGGCAUAGAUAUUCAUUGUAAAAAAUUUGAAAGAACCAUAGCACAAUUAAAAAAGAAUGCACAGGGGCGCCUGGGUGGCUCAGUUGGUUGAGCGUCCGACUUCGGCUCAGGUCAUGAUCUCACAGUUUGUGAGUUCGAGCCCCGCGUCGGGCUCUGUGCUGACAGCUCAGAGCCUGCUUCGGAUUCUGUCUCCCUCUCUCUCUGCCCCUCCCCCCCUCAUGCUCUGUCUCUCUCUGUCUCAGAAAUAAAUAAACAUUAAAAAAAUUUUUUUUAGGGGCACCUGGGUGGCNNNNNNNNNNNNNNNNNNNNNNNNNNNNNNNNNNNNNNNNNNNNNNNNNNNNNNNNNNNNNNNNNNNNNNNNNNNNNNNNNNNNNNNNNNNNNNNNNNNNNNNNNNNNNNNNNNNNNNNNNNNNNNNNNNNNNNNNNNNNNNNNNNNNNNNNNNNNNNNNNNNNNNNNNNNNNNNNNNNNNNNNNNNNNNNNNNNNNNNNNNNNNNNNNNNNNNNNNNNNNNNNNNNNNNNNNNNNNNNNNNNNNNNNNNNNNNNNNNNNNNNNNNNNNNNNNNNNNNNNNNNNNNNNNNNNNNNNNNNNNNNNNNNNNNNNNNNNNNNNNNNNNNNNNNNNNNNNNNNNNNNNNNNNNNNNNNNNNNNNNNNNNNNNNNNNNNNNNNNNNNNNNNNNNNNNNNNNNNNNNNNNNNNNNNNNNNNNNNNNNNNNNNNNNNNNNNNNNNNNNNNNNNNNNNNNNNNNNNNNNNNNNNNNNNNNNNNNNNNNNNNNNNNNNNNNNNNNNNNNNNNNNNNNNNNNNNNNNNNNNNNNNNNNNNNNNNNNNNNNNNNNNNNNNNNUGCCCCUCCCCCAUUUGUGCUCACACAUGCAUGCUCUCUCUACCUCAAAAUAAAUAAACAUUUUAAAAAAUCUUUAAAAAAUAAAGAAUACACAGAAACAGAUUGUUGGUUUCUUUCUUUCUAGUAUGUAUGUAUAUUACAUAAAUAAUUAGUAUAUGUGUAUUAAUAAGGUUUUUAGAUACUCUUGAGUGUAGUCAACAUAAAAUGUUAAAUUAGUUUCAGGUAUACAACUUAGUGAUUAGAUGGCUCUUGAGUUACCAAGAACAUUUUCCUAUCUUUAGGAAUAUCUUUAGGAAUACACACAAGUCUUUUAUUUGGGCCAUGAUUUUUUAUAUAAUACUUACAUAUUUUUUUAAACAUUAGGAUUAUUUUAAGUUUUUUUAAACACUUGAACAUAACGUCGUUAACGUACUUGUAGAAACAUUUUUCUGUGCAUAUCUCCUUGAUUAUUUGUUUUACUAUAAUCUUGUUAGACACUGAUUAUUAUUUUGCAUCUCUUGAUUAGCUAAUGUGAACAAAGUCAAGUGUAAAGUAAUUAGAGCAAAUAUUGUUCAUAUAUCCCCUACAUCUCUUCACACUUAAUUCAUUCUCACCUCUGACAAACAUAAUCAUCUCAUGCCCUGCUAUCAUCCACUAUUCUUUGCUUUCCUCUCUCAGCCCUCUGUUAUGAGAUUUUUCUUUCUCACAAAAUGAUACACUUUUAAUGGUCAUAAGAUUGUUUUACCAUUUUAAUUGGUUUUCCUGGCACGUUCUACCAAAUACAUCUAUUUUUUUUUCAUUUCAGUACCUCUUAAUUAUCUCUUACCUAUUUGUUCUAUUUCAGGCAGCAUUCCAUUUUAUACGGUAUUCUUUGUUUAUACUAGUCUUUUGAUAACAAUAGUUCACGUUAGCUGAGCACACACAGUAAGCAUUACACACUGUUCUACAUGUGCAUUAACUCAGUUUUAAUGCUCAGGAAGUACAUUCUAAUAUUAUCCUUUACUUUUUCAGAUGAGGUAAUUGAGGUCAGUUACACUCGGUAACAUUGCCCCCAAAUGUCACAGAGCAGGCAGUUUGGCCCCACAGUCUCUAUAGGCUCUCUCUCUCUUCUUUAUCAAUGAUGCUUUAGUUGUGGUUCAAAAAAGAAAAAAAAAUGAGGUCCUUUUCAGUGUCUGAUGGUGACUGUGUUCCUGCAAGGAUUAGGAACUCUUUAAGAGUAUUUUUUUUUUUAAGUUUAAAUGCUGGUCCAGCAUAGUAGAUAUGGUUAGAAGAGUUUAGAGGAUAGGAGUGUCAGGAUUAACUGGGGCACCUCUCUAGCAGAACACCUGGAUGUGAUCCAUGUCCCCACAUCUGGUUUUCAAACAUGGCAGGCACAAUGAGCCUCAGAAAUGACCUUUAAUAAAGGCCAUUUCCUCCCAAGGUUGGUUUGUUUUAAAGAUAGCCAAACAUGAUUGUUUUGAUCAUUUCUACUUGAUAUAAUAAUCUCACCAACACUCAUGCUAGUAUGGUUUUUAGUAAAUUUCAGAGACAGGUUUUCAACCCAAGAGAAGUUCAGAACUUGGCCAUGAAUGUCCAGCCAGUAAAUUGUAAACUCCUUUUUUGAACCCAUGUCUUAUGGUGCAAAGGCUUAAAUUCUUAAUUGCCCUGGGAUACUACAGUGUCCUCUUCGGGCUUUGCUGAUACCCUUGACAUCUCUGGUGUUUCCUCUUGUGAUGUCUCCACCCUGCCAAUAUUUUAUGCACAUGUUUUUGCAACUUAGCCACACUCCAGGGGGGAAGCCCUUUAAAAUGAGACUUGUUCCAAAGUACUCCAUUGGCUUCCCAAGUAGAUAUAUGCCUUUUGGUUCUUUUAUCUGGCUGCUGGGACAGAGAUUCCUAGGAACCAAUGCGUCAUCAAGUCAAUUGUUUUGCCCCAGUUUUGGAAAUUGAACUCCCUCUACCUUCAGGUCUUCAGCCUCCAUUUGACUCCCCAUCAUGUUCACUGAGGAUUGUGGAAUUAAGUCUCAGGUGAGGAGUCAUACUAUCCCAUUUGGGAAGAGGGCUUUCUGUCAGAGGGGAAAAUUUUUUAUUCAUUUAAACUACAGAAUAAAUUAUGAACUAUAUGCAUUAGCCAAUUGAUUGAUUUUAAAGAAAACUCAUUAACACCUGGGUGGCUCAGUUGGUUAAGUGUCCGACUUCAGCUCAGGCCAUGAUCUCAUGGUUCGUGGGUUUGAGCCCCACGUCAAGCUUUGUGCUGACAGCUCAGAGCCUGGAGCCUGCUUCCGAUUCUGUGUCUCCCUUUCUCUCUACCUCUCAUCUGCUUGCACUCUGUCUCUCUGUCUCAAAAAUAAACAAACAUAAAAAAAACUUUACAGAAAACCCAUUAACAACAUAGCUUUACUAUGUCCUGAGUAUCUUAUGUCUAUAUUCCUAUUGAUUAUUUUUUGAAGUUUAUUUAUUUAUUUUGAAAGAGAGAAAGAGAGAGUGCACGCAAGCAGGGGAGGGGCAGAGAGGGACAUAGAGAGAAUCCCAAGCAGACUCCAAGCUGUCCUCUCCAUCCAUGAACCAUGAGAUCAUGACCUGAGCCAAAAUCAAGAGUCAGACGCUCAACCUACUGAGCCAUGCAGGUACCACUAUUCCUAUUGAUUAUUAUGUACCAUGGGCAUUGCAGAUAUUCUCUUCCCCACAUUCUCUAAUGAGUUAAUUAUAAUUGGUGUUAAUAUCAUCUAAAUUAUACGUAUCAUGAAAGUGUGAAUGGGGAGAGAGAAUUUCAAUGAGAUCAGAAUGUUUUUAAGUUAUAGUUUGAAUUUGAAGGCUCAAUUUAUGGCAUUUCACAUUCCAAGGAAAGCUUUGAAUUAUUUAGGAUUCAGUUAACUCAGUUAUAUCACAGAAUGAUAAGCAUGGCUAACCUUCACACAUGAAAAUUUCCCAAUAUCAUCCUGGCCACAGAUGAGCUGUAUGCACGCAUGUCCUUGUCUAAGAGAGACAUAGGGUUCCUUAGCAGUUGCACUUUUGAUUCAGUGAAAGUGCAGUUAGGCUCCUCCAACAAGACAGUUUUUCUAAGUAAGAUUUUUUUUUUAUGUGACAUUUUAAUCUUAUUCUCAAGUUAGCUAAUAUACAGUAUAGUCUUGGCUUCAGGAGUAGAUUCCAUGAUUCGUCACUCACAUACAAUACACAGUACUCAUCCCAGCAAGUGCCCUCCUCAAUGCCCAUCACUCAUUUUCCCCACCCUGCCACCCCCAUCAACCCUCAGUUUGUUUUCUGUAUUUGAGUCCCUUAUAGUUUGCCUCCCUCUCUGUUUUUAUCUUAUUUUUCCUUCCCUUCUCCUACACUUAUUUGUUGUUUCUUAAAUUCCACAUAUGAGUGAAAUCAUAUGAUAUGUCUUUCUCUGACUGAUUUCACUUAGCAUAAUACCCGCCAGUAAGCUUUUUUUCUCAAUAGGAAAGAAAACAGCUGUGCACAGAGGGAGAUUUGAACACUGUGUUCUUCAAAGAUACCUGUGGCAGUGGUUGGGGCUGUUAGUGCUCACUGCCCUGACAGAAACUUGCUUUGGCAGGGUAGAAGGACAGUGGGCUUUGGGUGUCAGAUUUUGUGUCUCUGGUGUUGACUGCAGCUUUCUUGAAAGUCAGGCUGUACUCCUUCUCCAGGGACUCCUGAAGUGGUGGAAUUCUCUAAUGCCUAAUUAGUCUUAGUUCCUAUCUUCAACAUGUUUGCUGUCUGAAAAUGUUCUAAUAGGAUUUUGUUGCCUUUAGUGCCCCUGCUCUUUGGGAACCAUAUGAUUGCAAUAGCAUUUCCACCCAUUGGUUUCAAGGCCAGUUUUCCUGCAAGCAGACAAGAAGUUGUUUUAGUGUAGUGCUAGCACUUUUUGUCUUAGCCAACUGGUGUUCUUUUUUUUUUUUUUUAAGUUUAUUUAUUUUGAGAGAGAGAGCCCGCAUGUGCACGUGUGCAUGUGCGAGGGAGGGAGAGAGAGAAUCCCAAGCAGGCUUCACACUGUCAUCCCAGAGCCCAACAUGGGGCUCAAACUCACAAACUAUGAGAUCAUUACGUGAACCGAAAUCAAGAGUUGAAUGCUUAACCUACUGAGUUAACCAGGUGCCCCUAGCCAACUGGCGUUCUUCUAAAAACACCGGGGUUCUCAACUAUCCCCUGAUGGGCUGGGUUGUAUUUUUCUAGUUUGUUAAUGUCUAUUACUAUUGGUAGCCAUUAUUGUUCAUUUCAAGCAUUCUACUGCCUAAGACAUAUUACUUAAAUUUUCAUAAAGUUAAGAUUAUACAGAUAAUUUCCUACAUUGGUAGUGUAGCUAAGCUUAGCAAUUUUUUAAUAAACGCUUUUGGGAUAUUUUGUUUUCUUAAAAGUGUGCUAAUGUCAUACUUCUCUGACUAUCCAUCUGCCCUUCCUAAGUAUGCUCUUGUAGACCCUGUAUUGUAUUGCUGACAGCCACCGCUGGAGAAUUGCUGUCCUGAAGUAGAAUAAAGAUCUCAGACAUGGUGCUGCUUUUAUUUUUCUAGCUUAACUGAUUCUUUACAUGGGACUUAACAUCCAGUCAGCAGCUAAACUCAGCAAAGGAUUAUCUUGCCAUGUGUAUGGUUGUAAUGAAUUUCCAAUUUUGGUUUCUGUAUGGACAAAUGAGAAGCAAAUAAAUCUUUUAUAUGUAACUGCAACCUUGUCCUUCUAGUGCAGAGCUCUGUUCCAAGUUUAGACCUAGUAAAAUUUUGCUGCUUAUUAAAAAAUACUGCAUCUUAAGGGCUUUUGAUUUUUGGAAUUAUGUAUUCAUUCAUAUACAUAUAAACACACAGGGAUACACAUCAGCCACUAUGUUUUAGGUGCAAUGUUUAAUAUUAGUUAGAAAGCCUAUUUCCUAGUUGGGCUACUUCCAUCCUGUGCAAAUAGUACAAUCAAGUUGCCCAGUAGGAUUACAGACUGGGAGUGCCUGGGUGGCUCAGUCAGUUAAGUGUUUAUUUCUGCUCAGGUCAUGAUUUCGCGGUUCAUGAGUUUGAGCCCUGCAUCGGGCUUCGCACUGAUGGUGCAGAGCCUUCUUAGGAGGAUUCUGUCUCCUCUCUCUGCCCCUCACCUGCUCACUCACUAUCUAUCUCUCUCUCUCAAAAUAAAUAAAUAAACAUUAAAAAAAAGAUUAUAGCCUGGACACCCAUUUUCGAAAUACUGAAGCAUUAACUGUGUUCUAUAGUGCAAUAAUGUAGUCUUUUGCUAUCAGAUAACAAUUUUCUGUGGGAAAUUUGAUAUUGUAAUCAGAUGCUAUGAUAAUACUGGAAACCUGGAUAGCUAUACUUCUACAUAUUUAUGUAUUCACAUUAGCUCAUGUUACUAAUGUCCUAUACUUAUAGCUUCAGUCAUCUUCCCUUCAUUUGACAACACUGCCUAGAGGCUUACAAACAACAGUAUGGGUUUAUGGAGUUCCUAAUGGUCUAUUCUGCAUUGCCCCUUUAGAGAUGUCAUUACAUACCCACUUCUCAGGGUAUUUUCCAGUUGCAUUUCAUUAGGAUCCCUCAAUUCUAUGCCAAUACAAUGAGGCUUUAAAGAAUUCGCUGCAAAUUAUUUUGCUUUAGUGUUGUUACCUGUGUGGCUCAGCACAUUACAGUGCUUUACAUGUGUAACUGUUCAUUGUUUAGUUUUAGUUCAGUGUUGCUAUUUAGAUUGGGUAUAUUCUAAUAGUAUUAGCUAUUUAACUGCCUUUUGCCCCUUCAGUUCAGUUGACCGCCUGGAAUUUUGUCUGUUACCAAAAUAUUAAGUAUUAGGAUCUGCCAACCAUGGCAUGAGUAGUUUUGGAAGUACUGUUAUUUGCCAUAUUAUGAAACCAUAAGUCCAUGAGUUGUUAUACUGCCAUUGUUGACUUAAUAAAAAAAAUGUACCCACAAUUUUAUCAUGGUGUGCUCUCAUUAUUUGUUGAAUAGUAUUAAUCUAAACCAUAGUCACCAUGAUGAUUCAAAUCUAUUUGGAAAGUCUUAGACUUUUUCCACAUUAAGACAAUUUUGGGUUCAAGCCCUGUGUCGGGCUCCACACUGUCAGCUCGGGGCUUGGGAUUCUCUCUCUCUCAAAAUAAAUAAAUAAACUUAAAAAAAAAGACAAUUUUGCUAUUCCACUGUCUUGUUUGGUUGUGAGUUAUCAUAUUUUCCUAUCUGUUGCCAGAAAAUAUAUGUUGUCUAGUUGUUGACUCAGCAGUUCCUUUGUCCUGUAGAUACGGUCCUGCAAGGAUUUUUUUUUUUUUUACCACCUGUGGUUAAAUGUAGGAGUACCUUCUGUUUUUGAAGUUCUGUAGUGACGGUUCUUUGUCGAGUCUUGCCUCUGGUACUUCACUACUAGAUCAUUAUUUAGCCCAACUAUAAUAUGGGAUCUUGUUUUGACUCCACGGUGUUACUGGAAAACUUAUAUCUCCUAGUGGAUGAAAAUAUUUCAGUGGUAGGGCUAAUCUCCAUGUAGUUGGUAUUCCUUUGUCUCUAAUCUUUGUUUACAUGUUUAUGUGUUAUACCUAUACUUACUGGGCAGUUUGAUCCUUUACAAAUCCUUUACCUUCACACAUGGCCAAGAUACCAGUAACCACUAUUUGGGGGCAACCUGUCAAUGGACUUAUAGCUAACAAGUGUCCUCUCAAUUUUGUAAUAAGGUUAAAUGCUUUAGAAGAUUAAACACCUAUCUUAGCAACCCUGCUAAUCAGAUUGACUCUGAAUAAGGCAAUUAACUUAAAAAAAAUAAUAAUCAUGACAUCAUUCAUAUACCCUGAAAUUCACCCGUUUACUUUUCAGUGGCUUUUAGUACGUUCAUAGAAUUGUGCAAUCAUCAUUUCUGUAUUGCUGUAAAACAUUUUUAUCACCCCAGAAAGAAGCCUUAUACCUGUUAGCAGUAAUUCCUCCUUUUCCUCUUUUGCCAACCCUGCUACCACUAAUCUAACUUUUGUCCCUGUGGAUUUGUCUAUUCUAGACAUUCAUUUGAAUGGAAUCAUUCAAUGUGUCUUUUAUAUCUGACUUCUAUCACUUAGCAUGUUUUGGUGGUUUGUCCAUAUUAUAGUAUAUCUCAGUGUUUCAUCCAUUUUUAUGUCUGAUUAACAUUCCAGUUUAUGGAUUAGCUUCAUUUUGUUUAUUCAUCUGUUGAAGGACAUUUGGGUUUCCACUUUCUGUUAAGAAUAGGUGCUAUAAACAUUCGUAUACAAGUUUUUACAUGGACAUAUUUUCAUUUCCUUGAGUAUACCUACAUUUAACAUUGGAAUUGCUUUGUAAUAUGGCAACUUUAUUUUUAAUGUUGUAAUUUUGAAAAAGUUUAUGAAAGUGCCUGCACCAUUUUACAGUAUCACCAGCAAUGUGUGAGGAUUUCAACUCUUCCCUAGUCUCACUUGUUACUUUCAGUCUUCUAUAAAAAUAGCCAUCCUAGUGGAUGUGGAGUGUCUCAUUGUGGCUUUGACCAGUAUUUCUGUGUUGAGCAAUUUUGUAUGUGCUUAUUCGCUAUUUAUAUUUCUUCGGAGAAAUGCUUAUUCAAAUCCUUUGUUCGUUAGAAUUGGGUUAUAUGUCUUUUUGUCAUUUUAUUGUGAGAAUUCUUUAUACAACUGGAUAAUAGACCCCUAUUGGGUAUGUGGUUUGUAAAUAUUUUUUAUUCCAUUCUCUGGGUUGUCUUUUAACUUUCUUGUUUGCAGUACGUAAGUUUUUAACAUGGAUGAAAUCUAAUUUCUCUAUUUUUUGGUCACUUUUGAUUUUGGUGCCAUAACAAAGACACUAUUAUUUUACACUGAGGUCUGCUCCAUUUGGCAUUUAUUUUUAUAUAUGGUAUGAAGUUCAACCUUAUCCUUUUGCAUGUAGAUAUACAGUUUUCCUACUACCAUUUAUUGAAAAGACUAUCCUGUUGAAUUAUCUUGACACCUGUAUUGAAAAUCCAUUGACUCUAAAUUCAAAGGUGUAUUUGGGGCCUAUAAAUUAUUUUUCACUUAUCUGUGUAUCCUUAUAUCCAGGCAAUACUGUCUUUAUUAUUUUAGUUUUAUAGUAAAUUUUGAAAUCUGGAAUUAUGAAUCCUUCGACUUUGUUCAAGAUUGUUGGACCCUGAGUUUCCAUAUGAAUUUUAGGAUCAUUUUGUCAAUUGCUAUAAAUUAAGAUCUGGAAUUUUGAUGAAGAUCACAUUUAACCUGUAGAUCGCUUUGUGGAGUAUUGCCACAUUAACUGUUCUCUCAGUUCAUUAAUAUGGAAUGUCUUUCCAUUAAUUUAGUCUUUAAUUUUCUUCAACAUUGUAAUUUUCAGUAUAGAAAGUCUUGUAUUUCUGUUUAAAACUAUUCUAAGGGCAUAUGGGUGGCUCAGUCAGUUAAGAAUCUCUUAAUUUCAGCUCAGGUCAUGAUCUCACAGUUGGUAAGAUCGUGCCCCAUGGGGAUCUGCAAUGACAGUGCAGAGCCUGCUUGGGAUUCUCUGUCUCCUACUCUCUCCCUCUCUCUACCCCUCCUCCCACCUGCACAUGUAAGCUCUCUUUCUCUCUCUCUGUAAAAUAAACCUUUAAAAAAUUAUUCUAUAUGCUCCACUUUUAUUCAUAAUGUUGAUAACAGAAUUAUUCUCUUAUUUCAUUUUGAUUAUUAAUUGCUAGUAUAUACAAGUAAAAUUAUUUUUUAUUGGUACUGUAUAUUCUAAGGUUUCUGAACUCAUUAGAAUUGCUUCUUUUUAUUCUAAUAGUUUUAAUGUUAGGUGGGGUGAGUUUCUUUUUGGUAGAUUCCUUAGGAUUUUUAUGUAUAAGAUUAUAUUUCCUACAAAUACAGAUCAUUGUACUUCUUUCUUUUUAAUCUCAUUGAUUUUUAUUUCUUUUUUCUGCCUAAUUACCCUAACUAGAAUCUCCUAUACAUUAUUGGCAAGAGCAGUCUUCCUGGCCUUAGGGGAAAUAUACUUACCCUUAAUUGCAAUGAUAGCUGUACAAUUUUUCUAAAUCCCCUUUGUCAAGUAUGGAAAGUUCCCUUCUGUUCCUAGCUUGUUGAGGUUUUCAUUUUUUUUAAUCAUGAAUGAUUGUCAUGAAAUUUCUACGUUUGUUGAUAUGAUCAUGAGGUUAUCUUUAUUUUGUAUAGUGUAUUAGAUUCAUUCAUUUUCAGAUACUAAACCAACUGUAUUGAGGUAAAUCCAAUUUGGUCAUGGUAUAUAAUCAUUUCAUUUCUGGAUUUGGUUUGCUAGUAUUAUGUUGGACUUUUUUGGAACUCUCUAUUCAUGAGGCAUUUUGCUCUGUGGUUUUCUCAUUUUAUCUUUGUCUGGCUUUGGUAUCAGACUACUAAUGGCCCCAGAGAAUGAUUUGGGAAGCAUUUCUGUCUCUUUUUUUUUGAACAUUAAACAAAGGAUUGGUAUUAGUUCUUUUUAAACAUUUCACCGAAUUAGCAUGAAGUCAUCUUUUCAUGGACUCUUCUUUUGGGAACUUUUAUAGAUUAAUUAUCAAAUUUAUUUUUCUAGGUCUGUUCACAGUUUUCUUCUUGAGUCAGAUUUGGUUGUGUCUUUCAAGGAAUGUGUCCAUUUCACCUAGUUGGCACACAUUUUUUGAUAGUUCUUUGCGAUUCUUUUUUUUCCCUAUAAGGUUGGCAAUGUGCCUUCUCUUAUUCCUGAUCAUAUUUAUUUGAAUUUUCUCUCUCUUUUUCAUGGUCACUCUAGCUAUAGGUUUGUCUUUUAUUAUUAUUGUUUCAAAAAAACCAAAUUCAGUUUUCUUGAUUUUCUGUUUUUUCUAUUCUUUAUAUAUUCCUAUUCCAACCUGUAUUGUUUCCUUCUUCCUGACUCAUUUGGUUUAGCUUGCCCCUUUUUAAAUUUAAGAUUGUUUGUUUAUUGAUUUGAGAUCUUCAUUUUUUUAAUGUUUAUUUAUUUUUGAGAGAGAGCAUGAGCAGGGGAGGGGCAGAGAGAAAGGGAGACACAGGAUCUGAAGCAGGUUCCACGCUAUCAGCGUAGAGCCUGAUGCAGGGCUUGAACUCACGGACCAUGAGAUCAUGACCUGAGCCAAAGUCAGAUGCUUAACUGACUGAGCCACCAUGGCAUUCUGAGAUCUUCAUUUUUAUUACUAUUUUUUUUACUUUUUGAUAUAUUUAUUUAUUUCUGAAACAGAGACAGAGCAUGAGCAGGGGAGGGACAGAGAGAGAGGGAGACACAGAAUCAGAAGCAGGCUCCAGGCUCUGAGCUGUCAGCACAGGGCCCAACACGGGGCUCGAACUCACAAACCGUGAGAUCAUGACUUGAGCCGAAGUCGGUCGCUCAACCUACUGAGCCACCCAGGUACCCCGAGAUCUUCAUUUUUAAUAUAGGUAACUACAGCUACAAUUCUCCCUGUAAGCAAUGUUUUUGUUGCAUUCUAUAAAUUUUAUAUGUUUUGUUUACAUUUUAAAAGUAUUUUCUCAUUCUCUUUAUGAUUAUUUUUUGACCCAUUGGUUAUUUAAGAGUUUGUUGUUUAAUUUUCCCAAAUUUGCAAAUUUCCCAAAUUUUAUUCUGUUUAUGGAUUUCUGAUUUCAUUUCUUGGUGGGAGAACAUACUUUGUAUGAUUUCAAUUCUUUAAGUUUAUUGACACUUGUUUUAUGUCUUAGCAUAUGGUCUACCUGGAGAAUAUUUAAUUCUAUUUUUUAUUAGUAUAGUUAUCCAGCUCUCUUGGUUACUGUUUGCCUGGUAUAUCUUUUUAUAUCCUUUUACUUGCAAACAUUUUGUGUCUUUGAAUCUAAAAUACAUGUCUUGCAGAUAACAUAUAGGUGGGUUAUAUUUUUUUAUCUAUUUUUGCCAAACUCUGACUUUUUAUUAGAUUAUUUUUAUUUAUGUUUAAUGAAAUAAAACAUACUGAUAAGGUAGGACUGAUGUCUCUUGUUUUCCUAUUUGUUUUCCAUGUGUCUUAUGUCUUUUUGUUUUAAUUCCUUUUUUCUUUUACUGUAUUUUUAACUUACUUUUUUCAUGAUUGCUCUGCUAUUUCAGUUAACAUCUUACCUUAAAAUAAUUGUUUUCAGAUUAAUUUCAAUUGUGUACAAAAUUUGCUCCACUAUAUCUUUGUUCCCUCCCCUCUUCUUGGUGCUGUUAUUAUACAAAUUACUUCUGUGUGCAAUGUAAACAUAUCAACACAAUCUUCUAGUUACUCCUUUAUGCUCUUAUCUUUAAGUCAGAAAUGAGAAAAAACAUUACAUAUAAAAAUAGAUUUUUUUUGUCUCUUAAAUUUAUUUAUGCAGUUACCUUUAUUCAUGUUCUUUAUUUUUCAUUUAUAUGUGAGUUACCGUCUAGUGUCCUUUCAUUUCUGCCUGAUGGACUCUUUUGUAUCUCUUAUAGGGCACAUCUGUUAGCACUGAAUUCUUUUAACUUUUGUUUAUCUGGGAAUGUUAUAAUUUCUCCAUUUCUCAAGGAUAGUUUUGCUGGAUACCGAGUUCUCCGUUAACAUUCUUUUUCCUUCAGGAGUUUAAAUAUAUCAUCCCACUAUUUUCUGGUCUCCAUGGUUUAUGAAAAGUCAGCUUUAACUUUCUUAGGAUCCAUUACAUACGAUGAGUUGUUUUUCUCUUGCUGCAUUCAAGAUUCUGAAGUUACUUUGAUGAUUUGAUUAUUAUGAGUCUAGGUUUGAUUUGAAUAUCUUUGAGUUUAUCCUUGUGGCAUAUAUUGAUCUUCUUACAUGAUGUAUAGAUUAAUAUUUUCAUCAGAUUUGGCAAGUUUUGGCCAUUAUUCAUUCACAUAUUCUUUCUGUCCUCUUCUCCUUUGUUUGACUCCCAUUAUGUUUGUUAUCUUUACUAAUUCUUUUUCAUUAUCUUAUAAGAGAACUUAAGGUUCUGUGUAGUACUGGCUCAAUCUCAUAAGUAGUAUUGUUUGUUGUUUGUUAAAUAUGUUUGAUCAUAAUUACAUUUCUUUUUUUUUAACGUUUAUUUAUUUUUGAGACAGAGAGAGACAGAGCAUGAACGGGGGAGGGUCAGAGAGAGGGAGACACAGAAUCUGAAACAGGCUUCAGGCUCUGAGCUGUCAGCACAGAGUCCAAUGCGGGGCUCGAACUCACGGACCGUGAGAUCAUGACUUGAGCUGAAGUCGGCCGCUUAACUGACUGAGCCACCCAGGCGCCCCGAUCAUAAUUACAUUUCUUUUUUGACUCCAUUAUUUACUGUGAUGCUUCCUAUUGAGAAUUUCUGGUUUGAACUGCCUUAUACAUACAUGAUAUGUGUUAUAUAAUUAUGUAUAUAUUAUAAGUAUAUAUGUAAACUUAUGUGUUUUUAUUACAUAUAUAAUUACAUAUACAGUAUAUAUAUUGUUUUAUUGCAUUGUGAUUAGUGUGGUUACUGUCCUUUUGUACAUACCGAGUUCUUAAUAACUUCCUUAGAGCAAGUGCCUCAUUCUUUUUAAAAAAUAUCUUUAUUUUCAUGUGCUUAUUCUUCCAGGCGACCUUAGAAACAACUUGUUGAGUUCUCACCAUGAAUACCAUUGGAAUUGCAGUUGGAAUGGCAUUAAACAUGUAGAUUAAUUUUUGGAGAGCGAUCAUCUUUAUAAUCUUCUCCUACAUGAAUGUGGUAUGUUUCUCCUUUUAUUCAGAUCUUAAGUAUUGUGUAUGUCUGUUCCACUUAUUACCUUCAAUAUUUUUUCCUGGUUUCUGAAAGAAAUAGGCAGAUGUCUUAGGAACUGAGAUUCUGUUGGGCAAAGUAGAGAAGAUGUCAUCUACAUAGACUAGAUUCUUCAGUAUAAAAGGUCAUACAAAACAUUUUUUUUCAAUAUAAUGGUACUAUUUCUUCCACAUGGCCCUAGAAGUCUGCAUUAUUUAUAAUGUUCCAUAUCCUUGUUUUGUACAGAGGUGGUUUCUAAUAUUAGGAAAACUAUGUAGUAAGCCCUUUGUUUUUUAGUGCCAUCAGCAUCCCUUUGACCCUCUCCUUUCCCAUUUAGAAGUGCUUCCUCCAUCCUGCUUCUGGGAACUCAGUGCUCAUUGUUUACAGGAUAUGCACCCAUUGAAGACCUCCAUGGCCUCCAAUAUAAGGCUAACUAUUUGUGUUAUCACUACAAAAGUGUAGAAUCAGAACGGUUAGAGUUCUGUUCCCACUUGAUGGUUGGUUCUGUUUCCAUUUUAAGAGCAUCUCUCUGAGAGGGAAGCUAGAGAACAUCCAGGAUUCUGAGAGGGAUUUGAACUUAGAUCCUAUGAGAAGCAUCAUAGGAAUUAGAGCUGUUUAGAUGGUGGGAGACAAUUCCUCCGGAAUAAGGAGUUUGAUGAUCUGUUUCCAGAUCUUUUAUGGAGUCGGGAACGGUUGAUUUUUGCUGCUUUUCAAGGCAGUUCUAAUUAAUGCCUUCAAUGAAUAAACAAAUUUAAGAACUGUCCAAAGAUGAAAACAUUCUUGGAAGUGAUAACCUAGUGGUUUCUAUGACCACUUGGAAUAGAAUUUGAGAAUUUCCCUGCAUGUAAUGAGAUACUGGAUUACAUGCACUUAAAAGUCACAUUUAUUUCUGAGAUUCUGAUUAUCUCAGUAAGGACAAAUGCAACUAUUAUUGUGUGCCUACUUCACAUGUUCCCAUUCAAUAAUUACUACAACUUUUUGAGCAUCCCAGAGAGGUAGAAUAAAUUUAAGGCAACUAAUCUAAUUAAUGGCAGAGUAUACUUCUUUUACCUCUCUCGUGUAUCUUAAUUUAUAGUAGUGAUUCCUUAAGUUUGUAUAGCGCUUUAUCAUUUAGAAACCUUUCACAAGCAUGGUUUUAUUUGACCCUUUGGUAAAAUCGGAAGAACAGAUGCCACAUGUCUGUUUUAUAAGUGGAAAAACAUAGGUUUAGAAACUCUUUUUUUUUUUUAAUUUUUUUUUUUCAACGUUUUUUUUUAUUUAUUUUUGGGACAGAGAGAGACAGAGCAUGAACGGGGGAGGGGCAGAGAGAGAGGGAGACACAGAAUCGGAAACAGGCUCCAGGCUCCGAGCCAUCCGCCCAGAGCCUGACGCGGGGCUCGAACUCACGGACCGCGAGAUCGUGACCUGGCUGAAGUCGGACGCUUAACCGACUGCGCCACCCAGGCGCCCCGAAACUCUUUUUUUUUUUAAAGUUUACUUCUUUUAUUUUGAAAGAGAGAGCAAGAGCAGGGUAGGGGCAGAGAGAGAGGGAGAGAGAAUCCCAAGGCGGCUCCACACUGUCAGCUGAAAUCAAGAGUUGGAUGCUUAACUGACAAAACUACCCAGGUGCCCCAGGUUUAGAAACUCCUUGAGUUUCUGUGGAGCAAGAGGAAUCUAGGAGAAUGUUCAAUAUAACUACCAUAUUUUGCAGUUGAGGAAACUGAGUACCAUAAGUAAAAAUCAGGGUAUUUUGUAGGUAUUCUUUGAUUUGUGUUGGGGGAAGGGAAGGUCAGGCUAGUUGAUUUCCUGGGGGUACAGAAGUGUUAUGUUGCUUUUAUCCAUCCUUUAGUGUACGCUUGAUUAAUGCCAACCCACCACAUUAGAUUAAGUGGCGUUUUAAUAAACAUUGUUCAAAGGCACUAAAGGUUUAAGGAGAAAAUUUGAGGCUUUAGGGAGCAGGCUAUGGAAGAUAUUUUGGGUCAUGAGGUCCUUCUUGGUAGCCCUGAAAGCAUUAAGUAUUUCCUGCUCCAGGUUCAAGGGACACCUGGGAAGCAGGGCAGGAGAGAAUGGUUUAUGUUGUCCAUUUGCAGUCAUUCUAGUAUGGUUGGGAAUGAAGCCCCAGCCCUUGCUGGGAGCUAACUAGUCUCUCACUCAUGAGUCUGUGACAUAGGCUCAAGAGUGAUGGCUCUCUUGAAUAUAGCAUGGGUUGCAGAUUUAGCACCUCAAGAAUGGAAGGACCUUAAAAGUCUCCUAUCCAAACCAGCUUAUUUCAAUUUGAUCCUAAUUUGAGUUCUUUUACAAUAUACCCAAUAAGGGAUGUCCGGGUGGCUCAGUCCGUUAAGCAUCUGACUUUAGCUCAGGUUAUGAUCUCACAGUUCGUGGGUUCCGGCCCCACGUUGGGCUCUGUGCUGUCAACACAGAUCCCACUUUGGAUUAUCUGCCCCCCCUGCCCCUCUCCUGCUUGUGCACCCUCCCAAAAAUAAAUAUUUUAAAAAAAGAUUCUCUCACUCCCUCUGCCCCACUCACAUACUCUCUCUCUCUUUCUCUCUUUCUAAAAUAAGAUAAAUUAAAAAUAAACUCUUCUUAAAAUAUAAACAAAUUAAUAAAUAAAUAAAAUAUACCCAACAAAUGGCCUUUUAGCCUGUAGGUAACUAUAAUCAGUGACAGUUAUGGGGAAGUCCUUCCUAAGUCAGUUUGUCUCUUUCAAGACCUCUGCAGUAUUGAGCUAAAAUAUAUUUUUCCGCAGCUUCAACUUAAUCAGCAUAUUUGUAUUGUACCCCAACUUAAGAAUAUUGCUUUAUUCUGUCUCCUGCAUCUUCAGUUUCUUCUCUGCUGCCUAUUGAGCUGCCAGGCACUGUGCUGGGUGAUGGGGAUAUGGAGACGAAUUAGACACAGUUCCUGCCCUCAGGAGUUCUCAGUCUAGUGAGAGAGUUCGACAUGUACACAGAUAAUUACAACAUAUGGUAUGCUCUACAAUGGAGGUAUGUACAAGAUACUAUGGGGUUCAGAAGAGAAAUCAUUUGAUUGAGUGGGGAAAUGCCUGAGGUUGGAGGAACUGAUGCUUAAGUGGAUUCUUAAAGGAAGUAAAGGUUGGCCAGGCAGAAAACAGAGAAGGACCUUUUAAGCAAAGGCAUGGACACUGGAAAUAGAAUGAUGAAAUGGGGGAACUGCAAGUAGUUCCUGAAAUUAGGUUAGAAAUGUAAGCUGAGAAUAGAUCCUAAUAAGUAUUCAUACAUGAACUUUGGAUUUCGUUUGGAGCGUUUAAGUAGGGGAUGCUUUUGAAGGUCACUUUGGCAGUACUAUAGAGUAUGUUCUGGAAGAUUUUCAAACCUGGACAGGGAGAUUAGUUAGAAAUACACCAUAGUAGAGAAGAUGAUAAAUGAUCGAAGGCCAAAAGGAUUGGGAGUGGAGAAGAGGGGAUAGACUCUUAAAUAAGAGGCUAUAAAAACAUGGACAGUUCUAGAACAUGGAAAAAUUAAGGUGGUAAAGAGGGAAAAAUUAGGGCUCUCAGACUUUGGCAAAUGUGCGUCCACCUACUUCCAUUCCUGGCCUUGUUGAGAUCCUCUCAUGUUUACCUUUAUUAUGUUUAUGAAUGUUUAUUUAUUUAUUUUGAGAAUGAGAAAGUGGGAGUUGGGGGGAGGCAGAGAGAGAGGGAGAAAAUUCCCAGCAAGCUCUAUGCUGUCAGUGCAGAGCCCAACGUGGGGCUCCAUCUCACAAGCCGUGAGAUCAUGACCUGAGCCCAAAUCAAGAGUCAGAGGUUUUUCUGACUGAGCCACCCAGGGACCCCAUCCUCUCAUGUUUUUUAGAUGGGCAUUGCUAUUGAUUUCUUUUGGACCAGAGCUUGACUGUACAGAUUUGAUAAGUUUUGUUCUGGGAUGGCAGCUGUAUAUGAAAUGUUGAUUCUCAGAAAGACAUCUGAACAGCUGUAGACCUCUAAUAGUAUUACUUAUUUCCUUGCCCUUCUCAUCAGUAGUAGGUUUCCCUCACCAUCACAUUGUCUCCCAAAGUCAGAGAGGAAGCUUUUCCCUCUAAAACCCACUCAGGGGAGAAAUGGCCCUAGUUGUGACUGUCUCAAUUGUUUUAUUGUUUGUUGAAUGAAAAAAAUGAAUCAUCAACAGACAUUAAUUGGGCACCUGCUCUGUAAUCUCCAUGGACUCAGCUUAGGGAUUUUACAACGUUUGUGGUUACAUCUCCAAGUAAAAUAUAUCCAGUAAUCAAAAAUCUAAACAUAUUCAGUAUUCAUUUCCUGUUUUCUCAAAGCAAUAUAAAAAUGUUCUGUGGACAGUUCUCCACCUAAGGCUCAGAGUAGUGACCUUAGGGAUUCAGAGAAUGGAUUUCUGUGACUAGAAUGAUUAAUAGGAGAUUAUAUUUAAGUAGACCUUAUGUAUUUUCAAUGGACCUUAUGAGUAGCCAUCCUAGAAGGCAGUAGGGGGAAGAAGGAUUGGGAGAGGAAGCUCUGAGUAGGACGGCAAAGCAAUACGUAAGAGUCUGGGCCUUGGGACUAAAUAUCCUAGGCUCAAAUCUGCUCUUAAACUCACCAGUGUGGUAUUGAGCAUGGUUUUUCACCUCUCUGGGACUUGCCUUUCUCUUAUGUAAAAUAGGGGUAAUGGUCUUUUCUGCAUGUAAAAUGGGGGUAAUGGCCUUUUCUGUGAUGAUUUGGAUGGGGAUGGGGGUAGGUGUAAGGAUUUAAUGGGAUUAUUGUACAUUUCUUAGAACAAGUCUGGAAUGUGCCAAAUGCUAUUAUCAACUGUCGUUGCCACUAAUAAUGAUGUUGACCAUGUCUGGGAUUAAAAGAAGAUAGUUAACCAGAGGUGCUUAUGUUUUACGUUGUCAAUGAGGCUCUUCGGGUGUGAGAAAGAAAGGGAAACUAACUGGCCUGAAGGUUUUCAAUGGUAUGUUAGUAUGAAGUCAACUCUCUACCUUCUUUUUCUUCUCUGCCAAAUAGGUUGGGAAACCAGAUGAAUUUUUCCAUGCCCUGAUCACUAAUCUAUUGCCUUUGCUCUUAUUUCCAAAUAGAAACCUGUUGAAAAGUUGUGUUACACCUGAAUAAAGGUUAUCCUAAAAAUGUAGAAAAAUGCUUUGGAGUUGGUCAAAACUGGACUUGAAACCUGACUCAACUGCUUACUAGCUGUGUGAUCUAAGACAUGUUACUUAACCUCACUGAACCUCAGUUUUUUCAUCGAAUAUAAUAAUUUGCAGGGUUUCUCUGAGGAUAUUUGUGAAGUGUAUGUCAUAAGCACUAAGUCAUAGCUGUCAUUGUUAGUUCUUGGGAUACUCACCACGUGACAGAAACAACAGCGGGCCCUGGUGGCUGGGAGGACUGCAUGGAUCCAACCUCAACCUGGAGUUGUGCUCUUCUGAAGAAAUCCUACUCGGAUGGAUAUAAUACAACCUGCUAAGUGUCCUCGCACUUAUCAGGUUGUAUUAUCAUUGUCCGUGUCUAUGGCUCUCGUCUACCAGACUCUAAAUUCCUUACAGGCAAGGACAGUGCCUUGUUCAUCUUUGUAUUCGGUGCCUAAUCCCGUGCACAUUGUAGGCCUCAUUAAAUGUUUGUUGAAUGAAAAAAUGAAUCAUCAACAGACAUUAAUUGGGCGCCUGCUCUGUGAUCUCCAUGGGCUCAGCUUUUCCCCGCCAGUUGCCUACAACGUCCAAGCUGUCUUCAAUAUGCUUUCUCCUGGAGCUUACUCCUAUCUUCUCACUCUUUUGCUGAGGACUUUUCUGUGUAGUACAAAGAUAGCAGAUAUACUUCAUCUCAAGUACCAUCUCCAAUCGGUCAAUAGUACCUGCCUCGAUUAUGUUUCACAAAAAGGAUGCUGAAGCCAGGUCUCAUUCAGUUCAGUGUGAAAGAGAGUUAUAACUAAUUAGCUAUGUUUACUGAAGGUGGGAGAAGGGGGAAUAGCAGCCUAAGUGCCGCAUAUAUAUCAUAUUUAAUAUGUUUUCCGUGAAAUAUUCUGUUUCCAUGCCUGUAUUUUAGUCUUGGCUACUUGCAGAUGUUGCAUGCCUGCUGCUGCUGCUGCUGCUGCUACUACUACUACUACAGUUGCUGCUGAUUGCUCCUUGGGUAGGACCAAAGUGAUCAUUGAUCAGAAACUUCAUCCUCACAGUCUGGGGGUUGCUCCUGUGGCUGGUAUUCACAGUUUCCCCUUUCAACUUUACCUCAGCUAUCCCCUUACCUACAGUGAAAGGUAGGCCUCCACUUUCCGUUCACCACUCAACAGGCUCCUAUUUCCUUUUCCUUCUUUAGUAUGAUUAAUGACUCUUGUUCCAUGAGAAGCCUUCUUUCUGGUAGAAGAUGUGACAAAUAGAGUACAAGUUAAAUGAUUCCGUCAGGGCGCUACAGUGAGUCGUAUAAGCUGCCCUUUAAUGUGGGAGAAAAUGGAGUAUGCUUGCAGACUUCGGGGCAGGAAGAACAGAGAAGGAAGUCAUUGUUGAUGGGGGAAAGAAAGACACUAACAGAUGGAAUAAGUUCCUGAAAAAUGAUGGCAGAAGGGAGGGUGAAACCUAUGACUCUAAAAUAGGGGGAGACAGAGCACCUCAGAUGAAAGGAAUUACCUCCUCGCUGGAGCAUAGGGAUAGGAGUUAGGAGAAACAUGUGACAAGGGUGUUGAAGAUUUGUAAUUGUUGAUGUGGAUGAUGGAGAGGAAGCUGACAGGAUUAUGGGACAGGGAUUAUGGGACAGGAUUAUGGGGACAAAUAAUCCAGGGACAGGAUUAUGGGACAAACCAGAGUCCAAGGGAUAUUUGGGCCAAAAGGCUAGAGUGGGGCCUUUCGGUCUAUUAAAGUGAGAUACUAUUAUAUUAAAUUAUAUACUAAAUUAAAGUAAGAAACCAGAAACUUGAGAAACUUUAAAGUGGUCUUAGGCCACCCGUCACAAGUAACUUGAUUGCCUGGGACUGACCUUUAUUGGUUGAGGGAUGGACAGCUAGCAAGAGAGGGGCUACACAGAAAUGAAUUUGAAACUCCAGACUAUAUGUGGAAGGAAGUUAGAUCAGAAGUGAGCUGAAAGUCUGUGAAUGAAAAAAGGCCCUAGUGUGAUCAAGAUGGUUGUUGGGUAGUUGGAAAUUGGAAUAAUAGAACCUGUAAUCAGAGAGUGGAUUUUGAAACAUUAAGAUUGCAAAACCAGAGUGGUCAAGGUAACUUGUGAAGUGAGGUUGUCAGAUGGUCAGUUACAUAAAUACUGAAGUGACCCGGGACUAUAGCAAAAGCCAAGCUGGGAAUGAACUCUGGAGGCCAGGUGUAACAGGCCUUGAUGCCUGAGGAGUGAUUUAGAGGUUGGCACAUGGCAACUGUGCAGGUGUAAGAGAAGAAACGAUGUAGUGGGAUAGUUGCAUGAGCCACGGAGGAGCGGUAGGGAUCAUUAGAAGUUACCAAAACCAUGAUCUGCACAUUGCUCCGAGGUGUUGGCUUGCAGAAUGCCUAGCUAAAGUGAUCCCCUCCUCUAUCGGGUGCUUGCUCUAUACCCAGCACCUUGCUGUGUGCUAACCAUUUACCCCGUCUGGGUCUGUCACAUAUCAGGUAUGAGAAAAUGAGCAGCAUUCCCGAGCAAGGACAGCUAGGGGAGCUGCUGGCCCUUUGAAUUGACAGAAUGCUGUGGCCGUGUCUACAGACUGGUCAGCUUGAAGUGGCAUCAAAAGAUUUCUUUUCGACCCAAAUUUUUCCUUGACCUUGACCUAACUUUAUCCACGUGGUACAAGUUUGUGUUGGCUGUUCCAUAAUGUACUUUGACUUCUGAGUCUCUGACUUGAGGAGUAUGCUAGAACUGUCCUUUAAAAAACAACAGGCACAGCACAUUAAAAGCACAGAUUAAUUAACUAGAACAAGGGGCCCUGUUACAUAAUUGAGCUUUUAAGAUAAAGGAUAGACAAAAGAAAGCUCCCAUCAGUGUGUAACAACAGCACUUUGUGACAGCCACUCUAAGGUCAGGAUACAUCUAGUUUAGUGGCCAUAUUGUACAUAUUCCCUGUUGUUGUUGGGAAGAAGGGCUGGAAAUUGAUGCAGAGAGAUGUCCCUUAGGACUUGGAAUGUAAAGUUUAGGAGAAGAGAAUCUCCAUGAAUCCUGUGACACUGCAUGUCAUCAUUUUUCCUCUGUUAUAGUCUUUGAAUGAGUCAAUAUUUCAAUGAAGGGGUAGAGCCCUUGAGACAGAGUUCCCAGGCCCUUAGACCGUACGUACAUCCCCUCCUUUGGGGCCGCUUUAUAUUUAUUCCUCAGGAGGAUCUGGUAGAAGACUUCGUGUGAGGAAGAAGAAAAAGAAAGAAGCAGAGAAUCACUACAGCCUGUCUUCAUAUCAGCUUCACAAAGCACCACUCAACAGAGGGCUUACUCUCUUGAGACUCCAGACCACAGGUUGCUCUUUUCAAUUGCACGUUUGGCCCUCUCAGCUACUUCCUACAUUCAGAAAUUGUACUGUAUGUGCAUGUAUGAACUAUCAUUUCCCAUAAAGACUACUCCGUGUUCACAGCAAAAAAAAAAAAAAUCCCUAAAAUAAGGUAUAAUGCUUGUUCUGUUAGGUUUCCAAUAGUCACAAAUUGCUGGAUCUCCACUGCUGUAAUACAGGCCACCAGAGAUGAGUUUGGGUUUCGGAAACAAAGGACCCCAGCUUCCUGGAAGGAAGGCAGUCGGUUGACUUGAAAGUAACCCCUAUCCCUGCAUUCUUAUUAUUUCUUUUUCCUUCAGCCCCUUGACUAAGAUACCACUGAUGAAAGCAAAAAAGCCAUACUUUCCCCUUCUGCUGGCACUUUUCUGGCCUACGUAUAUGCCUUUAGGAGUCACUCUCUCUUUAUCAGCACUUCCUUCUUCCCAUCUCUUAAGACCCAGAGAGUCAUGAAUGCUAGAGUUGGGGUUGAACUUGUCACACCUACCUCCUGCAGUUGGGGAAUACUAAUGUUAAUCAGCCUGAUACCCACUUCCACCUGAUAAUCAUGGCAGCCACUGGAGAAGCUGUAGCUAAGGCCAGCAACCGUAUGGACCCCAGCCCCAAGACUCACUCCUGAUGUCUCAACUGAUUGUGAAAAACUAGUAGGAGGGCUUGCCCCACCCCAGCCCCCUUCUGAGUUGGUCAUCAGAUAUCAGGACUUGUCUUAGGGCCUAUGUUACAUAAGGACAGAUAUCUCAUAAACAGUAUCAGGAGUCCUGGUUACCUUUUAUCUCUCUUGGGGAUGGGCAGGAUAGGGCAUAAGGAUAAGUGGUAAGUCUUGUGCCUUUCAAAUAUAUUCCUAGUGAUUCCUCAGGACACCCUUGGUCACACCAUCUGGUGCCUAAUCCUGGGUCUCGCCUCUUCAAAGCUUUCCUAGUGUGUUCCUUGCUCUCACUAACCACCUUUUAUUUCCUGCCCCAUCCUGAUGGAUUUCAGCAGGUGUUUUUUCUUUUCCCUUCCUCAGGCCGUCUGUAACAGCCUUUCAUCUGGGAGGAGCCUUGUGAAUGAGUGAAUGAAACCUCAGUGAGUGUUUACAAUGACACCCAUGUUUUUCUAUGGAUAUAAGGAGAAAGAAGGCUAUGAAAUGCCAUCAUGGAGUAACAAAAAUUUGACAUUUUAGUGGAUAUUGGACCUAGAAGCCUACAUGAAUGAAGGAAGCAAACCUGAGAUUCUGAUGUUUGUGAGUGAAGAUAGGAGUGAACUCCUUACUGCUAUUAGUAAUGGAAGAAGAGAGGGGAGAAAAGUGAGGGAGGUCAUACAGUCCUUCACUUCAGUGGAGGGAGUGCUGAGACUUGCUUCAUAAACCAGUAACUUAUUAAGGUGGAUUGGAGAGGAAUUGUUGCACUGCACUAUUUCUUUUGCUGUUUGUGUUAAGUCACUGCCAGGCACUGUCCUCAGGUAGAGCUGCCUUUGUGGAGGUUUCUGUUGACCCCUAAUGAGAAACAACCCAGAACAAGGUUUGCGACUUAGAACUCUCUGGUUCAGUGACAGAGUUUUAAAGAGGUUGAGGACAGAGGAAAUAGCACAAGUAGUACCAGAUAGCCUAGUUUUUCUUAUUGGAUGGGCGAGGUAGAGGUAGAGGGCACAAUGAUUCUAGGCAACUCCAAACCCCUGGUAAGGCAUUAGGAAACAAUAUAAUGAAAGGUUAGCCCUUAGACCUAUUGAUUUGUCAUUCCCCAGAGCGUGAUAGAUUAUCUAAAAGAACAAGGAGAGCUGCUUUGGAGAAAAGUUCUAAAAGAUUCUUUCAGAGAACAGAUUUAAAAGAUGGGGAGCUUCCUGUUAUGUAAUAUGGGCAUUACAGCUUUUAAAGACUUCUGUUCCAAAUAGCCAAAUUAUGGAAAGAGCCUAAAUGUCCAUCAGCUGAUGAAUGGAGAAAGAGAUUGUGGUUUAUAUAUACAAUGGAAUACUACCUGGCAAUGAGAAAGAAUGAAAUAAUGGCCUUUUGUAGCAACGUGGGUGGAACUGAAGAGUGUUAUGUUAAGUGAAGUAAGUCACACAGAGAAAGACAGAUACCAUAUGUUUUCACUCUUAUGUGGAUAUGGAGAAACUUAACAGAAGACCAUGGGGGAGGGGAGGAAAAAAAAAAGGAGGGAGCCAAACCAUAAGAGACUCUUAAAAACAGAAUAAACUG
This 36733-nucleotide long non-coding RNA is filed under the name Lynx pardinus (Iberian lynx). The stretch from base 31715 to 31793 matches the Rfam family "mir-95 microRNA precursor family". The record is from RNAcentral. Lineage: Eukaryota; Metazoa; Chordata; Mammalia; Carnivora; Felidae.